GAAAUGCGAUACUUGGUGUGAAUUGCAGAAUCCCGUGAACCAUCGAGUCUUUGAACGCACAUUGCGCCCUUUGGUAUUCCUUAGGGCAUGCCUGUUCGAGCGUCAUUUGAACCCUCAAGCUCAGCUUGGUGUUGGGUGCCUGUCCCCGCCCCGCGGGGACUCACCUCAAAAUCAUUGGCGGCCGGUACGUUGGCUUCGAGCGCAGCAGAAACGCGAACUCGGAGCCGGCGGAUCGGCGACCAGAAGUAUCUUCUUCACAGUUUGACCUCGGAUCAGGUAGGGAUACCCGCUGAACUUAA
Molecule: unclassified non-coding RNA, 299 nt
Filed under: uncultured Preussia
Lineage: Eukaryota; Fungi; Ascomycota; Dothideomycetes; Pleosporales; Sporormiaceae
Description: sequence contains ITS1
Rfam family: 5.8S ribosomal RNA (bases 1-105)
Source: RNAcentral